CAAUAAUUUCACUUCCCUGAAAAAACUAGUACUUGAAGACCUCUUCAAAGAACAAUGUCAACUGGUCCAAGCAGGAGAUAACCUCCCUCCCAAACACAAAUAAGAAAUAUCUGCGGAAUAACAACCAAUGGCAAGUAAUUUCCUUGGUAUGCCAAUGAAUAAUCCAAAUAAAUGCAGGAAUAUCCCACUACUCAUCCUCCAUCCAGCAAAUUUGACAAGCAGCUGCAAUUGAAAUCAC
This 238-nucleotide unclassified non-coding RNA is filed under the name Hevea brasiliensis (rubber tree). The record is from RNAcentral. Lineage: Eukaryota; Viridiplantae; Streptophyta; Magnoliopsida; Malpighiales; Euphorbiaceae.